UCUUCAUUGCCGAAUAUAAACUAAAAUAAAAAGAAAAGAAAUCAAGUUAGGGUUCGGCCUAUUGGGAGCUCAAUCAAGGUUCGUUUACUUGUCGGUUUUUGAUAAUUUUUACGUUUUUGAGAUUGUUGCUUAGUAAUCUUCAAGACCCAUGCUUUAAUUUCUGAUUUUGAUGAAUAUUUUGAGUUUUUCCAUUGUUGAUAACUUGUUAUUUUUGUUGUUUGAUGAUGAAAAAUGGAAGAUAUGUUUUAGAUUAACAUGUUUUGUAUUGGAUUUUUUGAUGAUUUUGAGUAAUUAGGACUUAAUUGCAAAAAUAAUAAUUUGAGGGACUAAAAUGUGAAAUAAAUUGAAUAUAUGGACUUGUUUGAGAGUGGGUAAAAUUUGUCCCAACAUAUAUAUAGGGAAAUUUUGUGUAUUUUGUGUUUUGUGCAAUAAGGACUAAAUUAUAAAAAUUGUAAAUGUUAAGGGUAAAAUGGUAAUUUGCCCAUUUAUGUUUUUGGACUAAAUUGAAUGAAACUAUGUUUGAAUGAGUUUAAUUUGAAUAUGUUUAGAUCAAGAACCAAAGAAAUCAUAUUUGGAUCGGGAGAAAACGAAAGUUGUCGACUAGUAGCAACGAAAGUUGUCGACUAGUAGCCCCGUCCCGUUUUACGACGUUCGAGGUAAGUUUAUAAGCAAAUAGACAUGUUUAUUGGUAACUUAAUGUUAUAUUUACAAGCUGUUUUGAAAUGUUAGAAACUAAAUAUAUUAUGGCUGAAUAUGAUUAAAUGUGGUUAUUACACUUCUGAGUUCGAUUCGACCAAGUUACGAUAUCCGAAAGCCCCGUAUGAACCUUAGGAAUAGCUAGGAUACAUAUGUCAUGACAUAGGUUCCAAUAUAUGUGUGCGAGUAAGUCCAUGGCAUCGAUUUGGGAUUUUGAUAUGUGUUUACGAGUAAGACCCUGUCUGGGACAGUGGUAUCGAUAUGUGGUUACAUGUAAGACCACGUCUAGGACGUUGGCAUUGUACGAUUUAUGUAAUUAUCCGAGUGUCCUAUCCAAUUUUAAAUGGUUCAUCGGGAAAAGGUAAACUGCAUACGGAUUGUAUAAUACGAGCUAAAUGGACAGGUAUGAGUGAAUUUGAUAUUUAUUUAAGACAAGGUAAGAAAGUGUUAUAGUUGUGUGCUAUAAAUCAUAUAUAAAGCAAAUGAGGAAUCCAUGUGUAUUUUGAUAUGUGUAUUCGGCUUGUGAUGAAUAAUUUGUGUUGUAUUGAAAUGUCAUUUAAUAUGUGUAUAUGUAUACUUUGUGAAUUCGGCUAUUUAGUUAUAAAUUAUACAUGGGACGACUUUUGAUGAUUCUUGAAUUGCAUAAAAGAGUAAAUGGAUGUAUGGUUGUUAUGGCUGUUAGGCUUGGAAAUGGAAGUUGAUUUAUAAUGUAUUAGGUGAUUAUAUAUGUAUUAGGCUUAGUUAGUGAAUAAUGUUAAUGCAUUUCGUUUGGUUAAUAAAAAUCAAAUAUGUUAUUGAGUAGUUACGGCUUGUAACUUACUAAGCUGUGGUAGCUUACUUUAUGUAUUACGUUACUCUGUUUUAUAGAUUUUGAAGGCAAGCUGCAAGCUCGG
Molecule: long non-coding RNA, 1589 nt
Filed under: Gossypium barbadense (sea-island cotton)
Lineage: Eukaryota; Viridiplantae; Streptophyta; Magnoliopsida; Malvales; Malvaceae
Description: long non-coding RNA (GBAR_LNC010624)
Source: RNAcentral